GUGGGGAAUAUUGGGCAAUGGGCGCAAGCCUGACCCAGCAACGCCGCGUGAAGGAAGAAGGCUUUCGGGUUGUAAACUUCUUUUACCAGGGACGAAACAAAUGACGGUACCUGGUGAAUAAGCCACGGCUAACUACGUGCCAGCAGCCGCGGUAAUACGUAGGUGGCGAGCGUUAUCCGGAUUUAUUGGGUGUAAAGGGCGUGUAGGCGGGACAGCAAGUCAGAUGUGCAAACCAGAGGCUCAACCUCUGGCCUGCAUUUGAAACUGUUGUUCUUGAGUGUCGGAGAGGUAAUCGGAAUUCCGUGUGUAGCGGUGAAAUGCGUAGAUAUACGGAGGAACACCAGUGGCGAAGGCGGAUUACUGGACGAUAACUGACGCUGAGGCGCGAAAGCGUGGGGAGCAAACAGGAUUAGAAACCCUUGUAGUCC
This 428-nucleotide ribosomal RNA is filed under the name uncultured bacterium. RNAcentral's name for it is "partial 16S ribosomal RNA". It matches the Rfam family "Bacterial small subunit ribosomal RNA", at positions 354 to 796 of the family's 1533-position model. The record is from RNAcentral.